AGAAUAGAACAUUGCAGCCAAUCACAGGCAUCAGCAGUCACAUGCAUCAAAUGUCAUCGAGGUACUUCCAAAGGGAACUCUGGAGCAGUAACAGUCCUGGACCAGGAGCAUGUGGAGAGCGAAUCAUCUCAGACGAAGUACGGAAGUAUGACACAGCUGUUACCUGCACGCUGAGGUCCUCGGCGCUCCUGUCUGUUCCCCCGUCUGACACCGCCACUCUGUUCGUCCAAUAAAGAAUACACUGAAGCUUCUACCUGGUGCACACAUGACUUCUUCACUGUGUUGGUACGUUGUUUGUGAAAUAAAAUAGAGACGACCUACCUGCUGCACUCGCCACAUCUUCUGUGGUCACAUUCUGAACGCUGGAGCCCACCUGGAACACCACAGCCGAU
Long non-coding RNA from Hyla sarda, 392 nucleotides. RefSeq lists it as uncharacterized. The record is from RefSeq and is a predicted model, not a curated record. Lineage: Eukaryota; Metazoa; Chordata; Amphibia; Anura; Hylidae. The transcript has 3 exons.